AUGGAGCAGAUGACUGAUGCUCGUGCUCUGCUUUGGGGCUUUUGUCGCUCUUCUCUAAAAUUACUACCCCUUCUUAUCUUCAGGUUCUUGAUUGGAUUACGUAUUUUGCGCACUUUGUUGGUGCCAUCUUCCUUGAGGCGAGAGUUGAUAAUGACAUAUUGCCUUGAACGUCCUACAAGGAAGUUGCUCCUGAUGCCUGUAAAACCUUUUGAACCUAAUAAAUCAUGCUAUGUAUGCUCUGAGGUAUUUUUGCAUUGUCUUAAGAUAUCUUGUUCUUAUAUUUUGCUCCUCUCAUUUGUAUCUAACAUGACACUGAAACUGAAUGCAUCAGACCCCUCUUCUGCUGGAUGUUAG
RNAcentral lists this ribosomal RNA (354 nucleotides) under Triticum aestivum (bread wheat). RNAcentral's name for it is "partial small subunit ribosomal RNA". The record is from RNAcentral. Lineage: Eukaryota; Viridiplantae; Streptophyta; Magnoliopsida; Poales; Poaceae.